UACAGAGGGUGCAAGCGUUAAUCGGAAUUACUGGGCGUAAAGCGCGCGUAGGUGGUUCGUUAAGUUGGAUGUGAAAGCCCCGGGCUCAACCUGGGAACUGCAUUCAAAACUGACGGGCUAGAGUAUGGUAGAGGGUGGUGGAAUUUCCUGUGUAGCGGUGAAAUGCGUAGAUAUAGGAAGGAACACCAGUGGCGAAGGCGACCACCUGGACUGAUACUGACACUGAGGUGCGAAAGCGUGGGGAGCAAACAGG
Molecule: ribosomal RNA, 253 nt
Filed under: uncultured bacterium
Lineage: Bacteria
Description: partial 16S ribosomal RNA
Rfam family: Bacterial small subunit ribosomal RNA
Source: RNAcentral